Molecule: ribosomal RNA, 409 nt
Filed under: Fusarium oxysporum f. sp. phaseoli
Lineage: Eukaryota; Fungi; Ascomycota; Sordariomycetes; Hypocreales; Nectriaceae
Description: eukaryotic LSU rRNA
Rfam family: 5.8S ribosomal RNA (bases 43-196)
Source: RNAcentral
GUUUCUAUAUGUAACUUCUGAGUAAAACCAUAAAUAAAUCAAAACUUUCAACAACGGAUCUCUUGGUUCUGGCAUCGAUGAAGAACGCAGCAAAAUGCGAUAAGUAAUGUGAAUUGCAGAAUUCAGUGAAUCAUCGAAUCUUUGAACGCACAUUGCGCCCGCCAGUAUUCUGGCGGGCAUGCCUGUUCGAGCGUCAUUUCAACCCUCAAGCACAGCUUGGUGUUGGGACUCGCGUUAAUUCGCGUUCCUCAAAUUGAUUGGCGGUCACGUCGAGCUUCCAUAGCGUAGUAGUAAAACCCUCGUUACUGGUAAUCGUCGCGGCCACGCCGUUAAACCCCAACUUCUGAAUGUUGACCUCGGAUCAGGUAGGAAUACCCGCUGAACUUAAGCAUAUCAAUAAGCGGAGGAA